UUCAUUAAUUACAUGCUUUCAUGAAAUGCGCCACAGCACAAACAUUUCACAUCUCGGAUUGGACAUGACCUCAAAACUCCCUCUGUCGGUGCCCGGCCCCCAAAGGAGCUCACACAGGUCUUAUCUAGACAUAAUGCCCGGCCCCUCUAAAGGAGCUCACACAGAACUUUCAAUCAUGACAGAUCUAUGGGCUAUUGAAGUCGCCUGGGUCCAAUCCACACCAACAGCAAGUAAUGCAAUGCGUCAUAUACGUGAAACUAUUGCAAUCAACCUGUUACAUAUAACCAUGAUGCAUG
Molecule: long non-coding RNA, 296 nt
Filed under: Manihot esculenta (cassava)
Lineage: Eukaryota; Viridiplantae; Streptophyta; Magnoliopsida; Malpighiales; Euphorbiaceae
Description: long non-coding RNA (MESC_LNC001147)
Source: RNAcentral